CCUACGGGAGGCAGCAGUGAGGAAUAUUGGUCAAUGGACGAGAGUCUGAACCAGCAAAGUAGCGUGAAGGAUGACUGCCCUAUGGGUUGUAAACUUCUUUUAUAAAGGAAUAAAACGAGGCACGUGUGCCUUUUUGCAUGUACUUUAUGAAUAAGGAUAGGCUAACCCAGGGCCAGCAGCCGCGGUAAUACGGAGGUUCCGAGCGUUAUCCGGAAUUAGUGGGUUUAAAGGGAGCGUAGAUGGGUUGUUAAGUCAGUUGUGAAAGUUUGCGGCUCAACCGUAAAAGUGCAAUUGAUACUGGCAGUCUUGAGUACAGAUGAGGUAAGCGGAAUUCGAGGUGUAGCGGUGAAAUGCUUAGAUAUCACGAAGAACCCCGAUUGCGAAGGCAGCUUACUAAACUGUGACUGACAUUGAUGCUCGAAAGUGUGGGUAUCAAACAGGAUUAGAUACCCCAGUAGUC
This 460-nucleotide ribosomal RNA is filed under the name uncultured bacterium. Its description in RNAcentral is "partial 16S ribosomal RNA". It matches the Rfam family "Bacterial small subunit ribosomal RNA", at positions 338 to 795 of the family's 1533-position model. The record is from RNAcentral.